GACGAACGCUGGCGGCGUGCUUAACACAUGCAAGUCGAACGGAAAGGCCUCUUUCGGGGGGUACUCGAGUGGCGAACGGGUGAGUAACACGUGAGUAACCUGCCCUUGACUUUGGGAUAACUUCAGGAAACUGGGGCUAAUACCGGAUAGGAGCUCCUGCUGCAUGGUGGGGGUUGGAAAGUUUCGGCGGUUGGGGAUGGACUCGCGGCUUAUCAGCUUGUUGGUGGGGUAGUGGCUUACCAAGGCUUUGACGGGUAGCCGGCCUGAGAGGGUGACCGGCGACAUUGGGACUGAGAGACGGCCCAGACUCCUACGGGAGGCAGCAGUGGGGAAUAUUGCACAAUGGGUGGAAGCCUGAUGCAGCAACGCCGUGUGCGGGAUGACGGCCUUCGGGUUGUAAACCGCUUUCGCUCAUGACGAAGCUUUGUGUGACGGUAGUGGGUAAAGAAGCACCGGCUAACUACGUG
This 467-nucleotide ribosomal RNA is filed under the name uncultured bacterium. Its description in RNAcentral is "partial 16S ribosomal RNA". It matches the Rfam family "Bacterial small subunit ribosomal RNA", at positions 28 to 507 of the family's 1533-position model. The record is from RNAcentral.